RNAcentral lists this ribosomal RNA (468 nucleotides) under uncultured bacterium. Its description in RNAcentral is "partial 16S ribosomal RNA". It matches the Rfam family "Bacterial small subunit ribosomal RNA", at positions 28 to 507 of the family's 1533-position model. The record is from RNAcentral.
GACGAACGCUGGCGGCGUGCUUAACACAUGCAAGCCGAACGGAAAGGCCCUGCUUUUGUGGGGUGCUCGAGUGGCGAACGGGUGAGUAACACGUGAGUAACCUGCCCUUGACUUUGGGAUAACUUCAGGAAACUGGGGCUAAUACCGGAUAGGAGCUCCUGCUGCAUGGUGGGGGUUGGAAAGUUUCGGCGGUUGGGGAUGGACUCGCGGCUUAUCAGCUUGUUGGUGGGGUAGUGGCUUACCAAGGCUUUGACGGGUAGCCGGCCUGAGAGGGUGACCGGCCAAAUUGGGACUGAGAUACGGCCCAGACUCCUACGGGAGGCAGCAGUGGGGAAUAUUGCACAAUGGGCGGAAGCCUGAUGCAGCAACGCCGCGUGCGGGAUGACGGCCUUCGGGUUGUAAACCGCUUUCGCCUGUGACGAAGCGUGAGUGACGGUAAUGGGUAAAGAAGCACCGGCUAACUACGUG